Molecule: long non-coding RNA, 2507 nt
Organism: Equus caballus (horse)
Lineage: Eukaryota; Metazoa; Chordata; Mammalia; Perissodactyla; Equidae
Source: Ensembl
GGGUUGCAUUUGCCUGAGCAGAGACUACGCUGCAUCUGCUAGAGCCCUGAUAUCCUGCCCCCUGCCCAGACCCAGCUGCGUGGACCCUAGGCUGCCCCUGGCUUCCCUUGAAGAGGAGCCAGGGCCUCUCCCUCAUGGCUGCUCCAGAAGGAACCUGAGAAGAACAGUCCUGUCUGCCCGAAGAGGGAGCCAAGUCCCUCUGCCAUACCUAGAAGUCUGUGUGAGGCAGAGCUACGUGGGUGAGCAGAGAAAACCUGGAGCUGGAGCUGCUUGAGCCUUGCUUGCCCUUGGACCCUGCAGCUGAAUGAGGAAACUGAAACUGAGAAAAGCUAAGGAACUUGCUCAUAUGCUGGAUGAACUGGGAUUCCAGUGCAGGCUGAGUGACCCAGGGCCUGAGCUUCACACAAGGCUUGAAGAGGAAGCUUAGUUAUUUGCAUCAUUCAUGCCACAAACCUUCAGUGAAUAUCUGCUGACUGUCAGUCUACCCUUGGUACUAGAGCAUGAAGGAAAAAUUGACACAGACACUGCCCGUAAGGAGCUCAUGGCCUAGUAGAGGAUAGAGGUAAGUAAAAAGGCCCUUAUUCUUGGGCCAUGCGGCAUGCAUUUGAUCACUGUCUGCUCAGCAUUGUGCCAGGCACUGGAGAUGGGCAGUGUUCAGAUAAGGCCCUGCUCACAUGGAGCCCACAGUCUGAUGGGGUCACAUCCCCUCGCACUCAAGUUUCCAUAUAGCAGUUACAGUGCUCAGCCCGAGGCUUUCUCUGCUGCAGAGACCAGCUUGGUAAGUGACCAAAAGUGCCAGGAGCUCACCCUGUGGAGCAGCCCUAAGCCAGUGAAGGGUGGGAGUUGGUGGAUACACACCCGAGCUUCUUCAUCCCUUCUUCCUCCCUUGGGUGGGACAAUCCUGAGGUGUGUUCUAUACUAUCUCUCAACUGAGGACUGAGCCUCAGGUGCCCACAGAGGGAACCCAGCCCUUAACACACCUGCUUUGGCUUCCUUCCCUUUCCUGUCUCACUUCCCCUCUCCUCUAUGUCAGGAACUGGGAAAGCUCUGAGAUUUUACCCAACUUGCAAGCUAACAAGUUGGCCUGCCAUAUUCCCAAGGAUGCUGGCAGAAGACACCAGACUCCUGGUUCAGAAAUAAACAUCAGUUUUUUACCCACAGUAAUAGCAGUAGACAGAGGAUCAGCUUUUUCCUGUACCACUUUCCUGAACUCCAGUUCCCACAGGAUGACCCAGUAAGGGCCAGAUGAUGCCUGUACAUGCAGUGGGUUGCAUUACAGGAGAAUCCUGAGUUCAGGGAACCCAAAUCUUUCAUAAUAAGGCUUCAAGCAAACCUGCCCAACCUUUGCCCUAGAUGGAGAUAUGAUCUUUAUUACACUGGACAAUAAACAAAUCUGCCUUUUUCCCCGGAGGGAGACGCUAUCUCUCUCUUCUAAGGCUGCUCACUAUAAUAAUCACCCUUGAAAGGAUUUGAAACAAGGUUAGUCAGUGCUUCUACUGGCAAGUGUACAGAAAUGGGAAAGACCCAUGGGGAAUUGUGUCCCAACACCCUACUGGUACUUCUUGGCAUCACCUCUCAAAUAAGCUAUUUGGAUCCUUGUACCAGAGCCUGCUUCUGGGGGAAAUCCCCCAAGAUGGGGCGCUGACGCUAAGUGGGCAUUAGUGGAUUUCUGAUGUGACUCUCCUCUUUUCAGACCUGUCCUGCAAAGAAUGCCAGGGAGCCACAUGAAGGAAGAAGAGCUUUUCUCACCCAGAAUCGAUACUGUUGUGACUCCCAGGGAGGUGGUCCAAAGGAUUCUUUGGGUUUCAUUUUUCAGGUUUAAAUUUAGUCCAUCUAGAAUUUAUGGUGGUAUCUUGUGUGUGGUGGACAUUGGAGUUAUUUUUUUCUGAAUUGGUCUAAUAUCGUUUAUUGGAAAUUGUGCCUGGCCUGUCACCACUCUCUUCUAAUCUGCCUGAGAUCUGUUAUUUAGAACAUAUGACAGACAUACAAAAGAUGAGUUCACAAUAAGUGGACUAAAGAACACAUGGGCGUCACCAUCAUUGGAGAUUUGACACUCAGCGCUGGCACAGCGUGAGACAAACCUGUGAGAACAUCCACUCCUGACGACACCAUCUAAGCCUCGGGAGGUGCAGGGAGGUUGUGAACCUGCCCCAAAGUUCACAGAGGAUUUGAAUGUGAAUUGGGAAGGUUUAUUUCUAUAAAAAUAUUUAACAGUUAAUAAAAAUUUCAAGAAGUUAAAUAAAAUUUUGGUUAAAAAAUUUUUUUUUUUUAGAGAUUGGCACCUGAGCUAACAACUGUUGCCAAUCUUUUUUUUGUUUGUUUUUCUCCCCAAAUCCCCCCAGUACAUGGUUGUAGGUCCUUCCGGUUGUGGCAUAUGGGACGCCAUCUCAGCAUGGCCCCAUGAGCAGUGCCAUGUCCGCGCCCAGGAUCUGAACUGGCGAAACCCUGGGCCACCGAAGGAGAGCGUGUGAACUUAACCACUAGGCCACAGGGCCGGCCCCUAGUUU